GAGUUGGUUGGAUAAUCGCUAGUUGCAAAAUUAGAGGAAAGUCCGGGCUCCGCGGAUCAAGGUGCUAGAUAACGUCUAGGCAGUGUGAGCUGACGGAAAGUGCUGAAGAAAUUAGACCGCCGAUUUAUCGGUAAGGGUGAGAAGGUGCGGUAAGAGCGCACCGUACACGAGGCGACUUUGUGUAGCUGAAGUAAACCCCACCUGGAGCAAGACCAAAUAGGAGUACAUGUGGCGUGAUCCGUGCCGUACUCGGGUAGGUUGCUGGAGGUAGAGAGUGAUCUCUAUCCUAGAUGAAUGAUUGUCCUCGACAGAACCCGGCUUACAGACCAACUCAA
This 335-nucleotide RNase P RNA is filed under the name pig gut metagenome. Its description in RNAcentral is "Bacterial RNase P class A". It matches the Rfam family "Bacterial RNase P class A". From Rfam's summary of the family: Ribonuclease P (RNase P) is a ubiquitous endoribonuclease, found in archaea, bacteria and eukarya as well as chloroplasts and mitochondria. Its best characterised activity is the generation of mature 5'-ends of tRNAs by cleaving the 5'-leader elements of precursor-tRNAs. The record is from RNAcentral.